Long non-coding RNA from Dreissena polymorpha, 545 nucleotides. RefSeq lists it as uncharacterized. Lineage: Eukaryota; Metazoa; Mollusca; Bivalvia; Myida; Dreissenidae. The record is from RefSeq and is a predicted model, not a curated record. The transcript has 4 exons.
AGAGAGAAACGGCAUUCUUCGAUACAAAUAGGUCCACAAGGCUCUUGAUCUGCUUUACUAUUCCAGUGGAAUGGACGACACCAUGAAGUUGUCCGGAGUGUUGCUCGCUACGCUCGUGUGUACACUGCUAGUGCUACCGGGACUGUAUGGAGAGGGAUACGGAGAGGGAUAUGGACAGGGAUAUGGACAGGGAUAUGGGUACGGGUACGGGCAAGACUACAUUCCAGUACCCUUACCCGUUCCCCGCGGUGGCGGCGGUCUGAGCGGCUUUCUACCCCUCAUCGGCCUGCUAGUCUUGCUAGGCUUGCUAUUUAACGGUAACAACCGGGGUAGUAUCAAUCUCGUCAACACGACACUUGGAUAAAUUGUAGCGAGCGUGGCUGUCUGGUUGUCAUGGUCUUCGCGCUCUAUGUCUCGAGUUUGCUGGUCAGGGCUACAGUGUGUGCAUUUCAUGUAUAGUUGUAUGCGUCUUUGUAUUUUUAUCGUAUUUUGUUAUCAGUUUUUCUUCUUUGACAUCGUUAUAAUUAAAUCAAUGUAAGAACGAA